GUGCCAGCAGCCGCGGUAAUACGGAGGGUGCAAGCGUUGUUCGGAAUCACUGGGCGUAAAGGGCGCGUAGGCGGCCGGUCGGGUCUGAUGUGAAAGCCCGGGGCUCAACCCCGGAAGUGCAUUGGAAACUGACUGGCUUGAGUCCGGAAGAGGAGGGCAGAAUUCCCGGUGUAGGGGUGAAAUCCGUAGAAAUCGGGAGGAAAACCAGUGGCGAAGGCGGCCCUCUGGUACGUGACUGACGCUGAGGCGCGAAAGCGUGGGGAGCAAACAGGAUUAGAAACCCGAGUAGUCC
This 292-nucleotide ribosomal RNA is filed under the name uncultured bacterium. Its description in RNAcentral is "partial 16S ribosomal RNA". It matches the Rfam family "Bacterial small subunit ribosomal RNA", at positions 505 to 796 of the family's 1533-position model. The record is from RNAcentral.